RNAcentral lists this ribosomal RNA (415 nucleotides) under uncultured eukaryote. Its description in RNAcentral is "eukaryotic LSU rRNA". It matches the Rfam family "Eukaryotic large subunit ribosomal RNA", at positions 1493 to 1878 of the family's 3401-position model. The record is from RNAcentral.
CAGAAGUGGAGAAGGGUUUCUCGAGAACGGCACUCGCUCGAGAGUUAGUCGAUCCUAAGCUGCCGGCGGCAGCCACGAAACGGUCGAUCGGGCGCGAGCCCGGCAGCCACGACCGGGCAGCGAAAGGGAAUUGGGAACCUCCUUCCCCAAAACCCGGAACCGGAACGAGGGCGGCGACGCGAACGAAACGGCCGCGGAGACGGCGGCCGCGGCCCCGGAGAGAGUUCUCUUUUCUGUGCGACUGGACGUCGGCCCCGGAAUCGCGUCGAGCGGAGGGGGGUCGGAGUUCAGGAAUAGCACCCCGGCCUUUCGGGGUGUCCGGGCGGCCGCGGUCGUCCCAUGAAAAUCCGCGGAUGAACGAGUAGGCGACGGUCCGGGUCGUACCAAUGACCGCAUCGGGUCUCCAAGGUUGAAA